RNAcentral lists this ribosomal RNA (252 nucleotides) under uncultured bacterium. RNAcentral's name for it is "partial 16S ribosomal RNA". It matches the Rfam family "Bacterial small subunit ribosomal RNA", at positions 524 to 776 of the family's 1533-position model. The record is from RNAcentral.
UACGGAGGAUGCGAGCGUUAUCCGGAUUUAUUGGGUUUAAAGGGUGCGCAGGCGGCACGGCAAGCCGGCGGUCAAAUCGCGGGGCUCAACCCCGCCCAGCAGUCGGAACUGCCGGGCUAGAGUGGGCGAGAAGUGCGCGGAAUGCGUGGUGUAGCGGUGAAAUGCAUAGAUAUCACGCAGAACUCCGAUUGCGAAGGCAGCGUACCGGCGCCCUACUGACGCUGAAGCACGAAGGCGUGGGUAUCGAACAGG